This 255-nucleotide ribosomal RNA is filed under the name uncultured bacterium. Its description in RNAcentral is "partial 16S ribosomal RNA". It matches the Rfam family "Bacterial small subunit ribosomal RNA", at positions 165 to 422 of the family's 1533-position model. The record is from RNAcentral.
AAUACCGCAUACGUCCUACGGGUGAAAGCAGGGGACCUUCGGGCCUUGCGCUAUCAGAUGAGCCUAGGUCGGAUUAGCUAGUUGGUGAGGUAAUGGCUCACCAAGGCUACGAUCCGUAACUGGUCUGAGAGGAUGAUCAGUCACACUGGAACUGAGACACGGUCCAGACUCCUACGGGAGGCAGCAGUGGGGAAUAUUGGACAAUGGGCGAAAGCCUGAUCCAGCCAGGCCGCGUGUGUGAAGAAGGUCUUCGGA